UGGCUGAGCGGUAAAGCGCUUGGCUUCUUAACCGGGGGUCCCGGGUUCGAAUCCUGG
Non-coding RNA from Biomphalaria glabrata, 57 nucleotides. The record is from Rfam. NCBI's taxonomy places the organism in Eukaryota, Metazoa, Mollusca, Gastropoda, Planorbidae.